CCGUAGCCAUGUGUCUGGGAUAACUGCUGGAAACGGUAGCUAAAACCGGAUAGGUAUACAGAGCGCAUGCUCAGUAUAUUAAAGGCGCCCAUCAAGGCGUGAACAUGGAUGGACCUGCGGCGCAUUAGCUAGUUGGUGAGGUAACGGCCCACCAAGGCGAUGAUGCGUAGCCGGCCUGAGAGGGUAAACGGCCACAUUGGGACUGAGACACGGCCCAG
Molecule: ribosomal RNA, 218 nt
Filed under: uncultured bacterium
Lineage: Bacteria
Description: partial 16S ribosomal RNA
Rfam family: Bacterial small subunit ribosomal RNA
Source: RNAcentral